CUUUGAUCGUCGCUGACAAUGUUCCGAACGCUUUUCCGUAAUAAAUCAAGAACCUAAUCCAUGAGUGGGGGACCUCCAGCAUACAUGGUGAGAACCAGACACUUCCCAGGGGCACAGGAAAUGAUGCGCCAGAUCAGAUCAUGACAGAAGUGGGAAAAGUUCUCUGUGCGGAAGAACUACACUGAAAAGAAAAGUACAAACAAGAAAACUAUCAGUUCUCUGUUCUGAGAGAGACUGCGUGGGAAUGACCAGUGUCCAGAGGUCAGCGAAAGCAGAGUCACUCUGACCUGGCCCUGCCCCAUGUACAGCCAAGACCCGAAUCAGUCCCUUGGAAGGGUCCUC
This 342-nucleotide long non-coding RNA is filed under the name Chinchilla lanigera (long-tailed chinchilla). RNAcentral describes it as "lncRNA (ENSCLAG00000029000.1)". Lineage: Eukaryota; Metazoa; Chordata; Mammalia; Rodentia; Chinchillidae. The record is from RNAcentral.